CCUACGGGAGGCAGCAGUGGGGAAUAUUGCACAAUGGGGGAAACCCUGAUGCAGCGACGCCGCGUGAGUGAGGAAGUAUUUCGGUAUGUAAAGCUCUAUCAGCAGGGAAGAAACUGACGGUACCUGACUACGAAGCCCCGGCUAACUACGUGCCAGCAGCCGCGGUAAUCCGUAGGGGGCAAGCGUUAUCCGGAUUUACUGGGUGUAAAGGGGGCGUAGACGGCUAAGCAAGUCAGAAGUGAAAACCCAGGGCUUAACCUUGGGACUGCUUUUGAAACUGAGUAGCUAGAGUGCAGGAGAGGUAAGCGGAAUGCGUAGUGUAGCGGUGAAAUGCGUAGAUAUUAGGAGGAACACCAGUGGCGAAGGCGGCUUACUGGACUGUAACUGACGUUGAGGCUCGAAAGCGUGGGGAGCAAACAGGAUUAGAUACCCUUGUAGUC
RNAcentral lists this ribosomal RNA (440 nucleotides) under uncultured bacterium. RNAcentral's name for it is "partial 16S ribosomal RNA". It matches the Rfam family "Bacterial small subunit ribosomal RNA", at positions 338 to 795 of the family's 1533-position model. The record is from RNAcentral.